GCCAGGCAUGGUGGUGCAUGCCUGUAAUCCCAGCUACUUGGGAGGCUGAGGCAGGAGAAUCACUUGAACCCGGGAGGUGAAGGUUGCAGUGAGUCGAGAUCACGACAUUGCACUCUAGCCUGGGUGAGAGAGUGAGACUCUGUCUCAA
Molecule: non-coding RNA, 148 nt
Filed under: Nomascus leucogenys (northern white-cheeked gibbon)
Lineage: Eukaryota; Metazoa; Chordata; Mammalia; Primates; Hylobatidae
Source: Rfam by way of RNAcentral